AGCGCGGAGCACCUGCGCCCGGGGAGCACACCUUCGCUCGCAGUUUACUCGCACACCAGUUUCCCGCCGCCGCGCUUGGGGAUUAGUGUGAUCUCAGCUCAAGGCAAAGGUGGGAUAUCAUGGCAUCUAUCUGGGUUGGACACCGAGGAACAGUAAGAGAUUAUCCAGACUUUAGCCCAUCAGUGGAUGCUGAAGCUAUUCAGAAAGCAAUCAGAGGAAUUGGAACUGAUGAGAAAAUGCUCAUCAGCAUUCUGACUGAGAGGUCAAAUGCACAGCGGCAGCUGAUUGUUAAGGAAUAUCAAGCAGCAUAUGGAAAGGAGCUGAAAGAUGACUUGAAGGGUGAUCUCUCUGGCCACUUUGAGCAUCUCAUGGUAGCCCUAGUGACUCCACCAGCAUUCUUUGAUGCAAAGCAGCUAAAGAAAUCCAUGAAGGUAUGAGCCCCCCACAAACCAUUUCUGCCCAGGGUUUGACCGAGUCAUCAAAAAUAGUGACUUUCUUGCAGUGCACACUUGUGAUGGGUGGACUUGGAUGCCAUUUUGGUCUGUACUCUCCCAGUGGUAGA
This 562-nucleotide small RNA is filed under the name Pongo abelii (Sumatran orangutan). RNAcentral's name for it is "retained intron". Lineage: Eukaryota; Metazoa; Chordata; Mammalia; Primates; Hominidae. The record is from RNAcentral.